This 906-nucleotide ribosomal RNA is filed under the name uncultured bacterium. RNAcentral describes it as "bacterial SSU rRNA". It matches the Rfam family "Bacterial small subunit ribosomal RNA", at positions 8 to 963 of the family's 1533-position model. The record is from RNAcentral.
AGGGUUUGAUCCUGGCUCAGAACGUACGCUGGCGGCACGCCUAACACAUGCAAGUCGAACGAAGUAGCAAUACUUAGUGGCAGACGGGUGAGUAACAUGUAGGUAUCUGCCCUUUGGCCUGGAAUAACACGAGGAAACUUGUGCUAAUACCGGAUAAGUCUUUACGGAGAAAGCUUUAUGCACCAUUGGAUGAGCCUGCACUUGAUUAGUUAGUUGGUAGGGUAAAAGCCUACCAAGACUUUGAUCAAUAGCUGAUUUGAGAGGAUGAUCAGCCACAUUGGGACUGAGACACGGCCCAAACUCCUACGGGAGGCAGCAGUGGGGAAUCUUGCACAAUGGAGGAAACUCUGAUGCAGCGAUGCCGCGUGAGUGAAGAAGGCCCUUGGGUUGUAAAGCUCUUUCGUCGGGGAAGAAAAUGACUGUACCCGAAUAAGAAGGUCCGGCUAACUUCGUGCCAGCAGCCGCGGUAAUACGAAGGGACCUAGCGUAGUUCGGAAUUACUGGGCUUAAAGAGUUCGUAGGUGGUUGAAAAAGUUGGUGGUGAAAUCCCAGAGCUUAACUCUGGAACUGCCAUCAAAACUUUUCAGCUAGAGUUUGAUAGAGGAAAGCAGAAUUUCUAGUGUAGAGGUGAAAUUCGUAGAUAUUAGAAAGAAUACCAAUUGCGAAGGCAGCUUUCUGGAUCAUUACUGACACUGAGGAACGAAAGCAUGGGUAGCGAAGAGGAUUAGAUACCCUCGUAGUCCAUGCCGUAAACGAUGUGUGUUAGACGUUGGAAAUUUAUUUUCAGUGUCGCAGCGAAAGCGAUAAACACACCGCCUGGGGAGUACGACCGCAAGGUUAAAACUCAAAUGAAUUGACGGGACCCGCACAAGUAGUGUAGCAUGUGGUUUAAUUCGAAGAUACGCG